UACGGAGGGGGCAAGCGUUAUCCGGAAUCACUGGGCUUAAAGGGUGCGUAGGCGGGUAGAUAAGUCAGUGGUGAAAUCUCCGAGCUUAACUCGGAAAAUGCCGUUGAUAUUAUUUGUCUUGAAUACUGUGGAGGUAAGCGGAAUAUGUCAUGUAGCGGUGAAAUGCGUAGAGAUGACAUAGAACACCAAUUGCGAAGGCAGCUUACUACACAGCGAUUGACGCUGAGGCACGAAAGCGUGGGGAUCAAACAGG
RNAcentral lists this ribosomal RNA (253 nucleotides) under uncultured bacterium. RNAcentral describes it as "partial 16S ribosomal RNA". It matches the Rfam family "Bacterial small subunit ribosomal RNA", at positions 524 to 776 of the family's 1533-position model. The record is from RNAcentral.